Long non-coding RNA from Lagenorhynchus albirostris (white-beaked dolphin), 259 nucleotides. RefSeq lists it as uncharacterized. The record is from RefSeq and is a predicted model, not a curated record. Lineage: Eukaryota; Metazoa; Chordata; Mammalia; Artiodactyla; Delphinidae. The transcript has 3 exons.
AUUUCACUAUGUGUCUAACACAGUUACAAACAUCUUUUUUUCCAUUAACUGAUUUUAUCCUCAGAACAGCUUUGUGACAUGGGAGCUCUCAUUAUCCUCAUUUUCAUGAAGAGGAAAAUGAAGCACAGAGAGGUCACCACAGAGCAUUGAGUAGAGUUCCCUGUGAUAUACAAGAUACAGGCAACAACAUGAACUGGGAAUUAGAAAGACAUUAUGAAGAUGGAGAAAGCACACACAACAAUGAAGACCCAACACAGCC